UGGGGAAUAUUGCGCAAUGGGCGAAAGCCUGACGCAGCGACGCCUCGUGAGGGAUGAAGGUCUUCGGAUCGUAAACCUCUGUCAAGGGGGAAGAAACCUCUGGAUUCGAACAGGGUCUAGAGCUGACGGUACCUCUAAAGGAAGCACCGGCUAACUCCGUGCCAGCAGCCGCGGUAAUACGGAGGGUGCAAGCGUUAAUCGGAAUCACUGGGCGUAAAGCGCUCGUAGGCUGUUUGGUAAGUCAGACGUGAAAUCCCGCGGCUUAACCGCGGAACUGCGUUUGAUACUGUCAGACUUGAGUGUCGGAGAGGGUGGCGGAAUUCCGGGUGUAGGAGUGAAAUCCGUAGAUAUCCGGAGGAACACCAGUGGCGAAGGCGGCCACCUGGACGACAACUGACGC
Molecule: ribosomal RNA, 400 nt
Filed under: uncultured bacterium
Lineage: Bacteria
Description: bacterial SSU rRNA
Rfam family: Bacterial small subunit ribosomal RNA
Source: RNAcentral